UAAGAACGGCCAUGCACCACCACCCACAGAAUCAAGAAAGAGCUAUCAAUCUGUCAAUCCUUACUAUGUCUGGACCUGGUGAGUUUCCCCGUGUUGAGUCAAAUUAAGCCGCAGGCUCCACUCCUGGUGGUGCCCUUCCGUCAAUUCCUUUAAGUUUCAGUCUUGCGACCAUACUCCCCCUGGAACUCAAAGACUUUGAUUUUUCAAAAAAUGCCGAAGGAAUCAACAGGCAACCGCCUCCAAUUUCUUGGUAGCAUAGUUUAUGGUCAAGACUAGGACGGUAUCUAAUCGUCUUCGAUCCCCUAACUUUCGUUCUUGAUUAAAGAAGACAUCCUUGGCAAAUGCAUUCGCAUUAGUUUGUCUUUAACAAAUCCAAGAAUUUCACCUCUGACAGUUAAAUACAAAUGCCCCCAACCAUCCCCAUCAAUC
Molecule: ribosomal RNA, 429 nt
Filed under: uncultured dinoflagellate
Lineage: Eukaryota; Dinophyceae
Description: partial 18S rRNA
Source: RNAcentral